AUGUCCAUCGCGUGCUGCCUGCCGGUGGUGGAGUGCGUGUACUGCCUGGCAUGCACGCGCUGGGUGUGGGAGCGCUGCCUCCACACCACCGGCUACGACAGCGAGACCUGGGGCCUGGCCUCGCCGGGGGAGUUCGAGCCGGUGCCGCGGCUAUGCCGGUUCAUCCUGGCGGUCUACGAGGACGACCUGGAGACCCCGCAGUGGGCGCCGCCGGGGGGCUACGACAUCGAGCCCCGGUGGGUGGUGCGCCGGAGGACGCCCGAGCACGCGCAGGGGCGCGCCCCGACGUACCUGCUGUACGUCGACCACCGGCACGCGGACGUCGUGCUCGCCGUGCGCGGCAUGGACAUGGCCAAGGAGAGCGACUACGCCGUGCUGCUGGACAACAGGAUCGGGCAGGCGGGCUUUGACGGCGGCUACGUGCACAACGGCCUGCUCAAGGCCGCCGAGUGGGUGUUCGACGCCGAGUGCGACGUGCUGAGGGACCUCCUGGCCACGAAUCCCGGCUACACGCUCACGUUCGCUGGGCAUUCCCUCGGCUCCGGCGUCGCGGCCAUGCUGGCUCUGCUGGCGGUGCGCGACAGGGAGCGGCUGGGUGGCGUGGAGAGGAGGAGGAUACGGUGCUUCUCCAUGGCGCCUCCCAGGUGCAUGUCGCUCAAUCUGGCAGUCCGUUAUGCCGACGUCAUUAACUCGGUUAUUCUUCAGGAUGAUUUUCUGCCCCGCACCGACAUUCCUUUGGAAGACAUUAUCAAGUCACUUUUCUGCUUGCCAUGCCUUCUGUGUGGAAAUUGCCUCAUAGCCACAUGUAUACCUGAAAGUGUGAUGCUGAGAGAUCCAAGGCGUCUGUACGCACCAGGCCGGCUUUACCACAUUGUUGAAAGGAAGCCUUUCAGAUGUGGAAGAUAUCCGCCUGCCGUUAGAACAGCAGUUCCAGUGGAUGGCAGAUUUGAGAACAUAGUUCUUUCUUGCAACGCGAUUUCUGACCAUGCCAUUAUCUGGAUAGAAAGGGAAGCCCAAAGAGCGGUAGAUUUGAUGCUGGAGAAUGAGAGGACCAUGAAAGUGCCUGAGAAUCAAAGGAUGGAUGGUGAAACCGCGGCGACAAGGGAUCACGGUGAGGAGCAGCAGGCGGCCCUGAGGCGUGCUAUAGCGCUAGGGAUCGCGGAUGUCAACCUGCCGUCAACAUACGGAACAUUCGACGAAAAUGCAAACCCCGAGGAGAGUGAGGCUUCGCCGGUGCUGCUUGACAGCGGCAGGCGAAGAACGGUUUGGAAUGAGUGGAUUGCGAGGAUAUUUGAGAAGGAUGAAUCCGGGCAAAUGGUUCCACGGAGAUGA
RNAcentral lists this ribosomal RNA (1332 nucleotides) under Triticum aestivum (bread wheat). Its description in RNAcentral is "partial small subunit ribosomal RNA". The record is from RNAcentral. Lineage: Eukaryota; Viridiplantae; Streptophyta; Magnoliopsida; Poales; Poaceae.